Molecule: ribosomal RNA, 222 nt
Filed under: Staphylococcus aureus
Lineage: Bacteria; Bacillati; Bacillota; Bacilli; Caryophanales; Staphylococcaceae
Description: partial 23S ribosomal RNA
Rfam family: Bacterial large subunit ribosomal RNA
Source: RNAcentral
GAUUAAGUUAUUAAGGGCGCACGGUGGAUGCCUUGGCACUAGAAGCCGAUGAAGGACGUUACUAACGACGAUAUGCUUUGGGGAGCUGUAAGUAAGCUUUGAUCCAGAGAUUUCCGAAUGGGGAAACCCAGCAUGAGUUAUGUCAUGUUAUCGAUAUGUGAAUACAUAGCAUAUCAGAAGGCACACCCGGAGAACUGAAACAUCUUAGUACCCGGAGGAAGA